AAAACGACUCUCGGCAACGGAUAUCUUGGCUCUCGCAUCGAUGAAGAACGUAGCGAAAUGCGAUACUUGGUGUGAAUUGCAGAAUCCCGUGAACCAUCGAGUCUUUGAACGCAAGUUGCGCCCCAAGCCUUCUGGCCGAGGGCACGUCUGCCUGGGUGUCACAA
Molecule: ribosomal RNA, 164 nt
Filed under: Arabidopsis thaliana (thale cress)
Lineage: Eukaryota; Viridiplantae; Streptophyta; Magnoliopsida; Brassicales; Brassicaceae
Also listed under: 16 other names
Description: 5.8S ribosomal RNA
Rfam family: 5.8S ribosomal RNA
About the family: 5.8S ribosomal RNA (5.8S rRNA) is a component of the large subunit of the eukaryotic ribosome. It is transcribed by RNA polymerase I as part of the 45S precursor that also contains 18S and 28S rRNA.
Source: RNAcentral